This 185-nucleotide ribosomal RNA is filed under the name Klebsiella aerogenes. Its description in RNAcentral is "partial 23S ribosomal RNA". It matches the Rfam family "Bacterial large subunit ribosomal RNA", at positions 2682 to 2877 of the family's 2925-position model. Lineage: Bacteria; Pseudomonadati; Pseudomonadota; Gammaproteobacteria; Enterobacterales; Enterobacteriaceae. The record is from RNAcentral.
UACGAGAGGACCGGAGUGGACGUACCACUGGUGCUCCAGUUGUUUCGCCAGAAGCAUAGCUGGGUAGCUAAGUACGGAAAGGAUAACCGCUGAAAGCAUCUAAGCGGGAAGCCUCCUCAAAGAUGAGUAUUCCCUUGAAAUUCCUUGUAGACUACGAGGUUGAUAGGCAACAGAUCGGAAGAGCA